Molecule: long non-coding RNA, 1265 nt
Organism: Phragmites australis (common reed)
Lineage: Eukaryota; Viridiplantae; Streptophyta; Magnoliopsida; Poales; Poaceae
Exons: 2
Source: RefSeq, a predicted model, not a curated record
CAAACGCUCCUCUCCUCGCCUCCUCCAAUGCUCCGCGCAUCAGGGAGUCGAAUAGCCGAGGCUAACUGCGAGCGCCGAGCCGGCCGGCAAACCCGGCUGCAGCCUGCAGCACCUGCCCUCUGCCCUCCUCAUCCUUUGCAGCGGCCAUGCUCCGAACAGGUUUGAUGCAAUAAAUUUAUAUAUAUAUGCUUUUCUUCCAUUUUUUUUCUGUUUGCUUGAUGUGUUAUGCAUCUUGUUUAUACUUGCUUCUCAACGAAAUUAUAUAGAACUUAACAAAAUGGUUAUUCAGGCCUUCUCAGCAAUCUGAAAUUUGCCCCAACUGCUUCCUGAAUAUAUUUGAAACCAUCUCUUUCCAAACAUUCUGCUAGCUCAGUUUUUAUUCUGGGGAUAAGAGCUGGACCACCAUAGCCAAGAGCAAUGUAAAGUUGAACAAGAGUAGCUCCAGCACGGAUCUUCUUGUAUGCAUCCUCGCCGCUACUUACACCAUCACGGAUCUUCUUGUUUAUACUUCAAACUCUGUUCCAAUAUUCCUUCUUUUAGAAAAUUCUCGUUGGUUUUAUCCAUAGCAAGAGAGGAAGUGGACAACUCUGAGCUGCUUUGUGCAAGCUAAUGUGAUCAGUAAUUUUUUAAAAUCUUUUAGAUACCCCCUUGUAAUCUUGCGAAACUCGUGUGGAACAUUUGAGCAUGGUGGAUCAAGCUAACAAAGUGAUUAGUUGACAUCAUUGUGCACGGACCGAGCAUAUACCUGCUAGGUUGCUACUCUCUUGAAACUUCCCUGUCCAGCCUAUAGUAGUUGUUGACUUGUUACUGAACAGAUAUUUUUAGAGACAUGGCACUGGGGCAGAAUAAUUACUUUCCAUUUUUUAUGCAAGUAUUGGUGAUGAAUACGUGAGCAAUAAUCUCAUUUGCUAUAUGGAGAAACAAGAAAUGUAAAAAAUUACAAAUGAUGUUGUGGUUCAUCGCUUCAGGGUAUUGAAAGAACACAAAAACUAGAAGAGCAACCAUGCGUUCUUCAGGUUGUGCCAAGCCAGACUUACCAUCUCCAUGAACCUGUGAGCACUGCUACUGAAUGAUGUACUUGUGAAGGCAUAACUGAGAAGGCUGCGUUCUAGUAUGGCAGUGGUCUGAUGAAUCCGUGGUAAUGUACAAGAAUAAGAGAUUCACCACCAAUGCUUCCAUACAGUUUGAAGGCUUGACCUGAAGUGUGUAAUGCACUAAUGCGUACAAGUUUGUUUCAAUAAAAUGGAAGACAAGUAUGCUAUCUA